RNAcentral lists this ribosomal RNA (502 nucleotides) under uncultured bacterium. RNAcentral describes it as "bacterial SSU rRNA". It matches the Rfam family "Bacterial small subunit ribosomal RNA", at positions 8 to 524 of the family's 1533-position model. The record is from RNAcentral.
AGAGUUUGAUCCUGGCUCAGGAUGAACGCUAGCGGCGGGCUUAAUACAUGCAAGUCGAGGGGCAGCAAUACACCGGCGCACGGGUGCGUAACGCGUAUGCAAUCUACCUUUAUCUGGGGGAUAGCCCGGGGAAACCCGGAUUAAUACCGCAUAACAAAUUGAUUGGCAUCAAUUGAUUUUAAAAGAUUUAUCGGAUAGAGAUGAGCAUGCGUAAGAUUAGAUAGUUGGCGGGGUAACGGCUCACCAAGUCUACGAUCUUUAGGGGCUCUGAGAGGAGAAUCCCCCACACUGGCACUGAGAUACGGGCCAGACUCCUACGGGAGGCAGCAGUAGGGAGUAUUGGGCAAUGGACGCAAGUCUGACCCAGCCACGCCGCGUGCAGGAAGAAGGCCCUCUGGGUUGUAAACUGCUUUUGACUGGGAAGAAAAGACCUCUUGCGAGAGGAGUUGACGGUACCAGUGGAAUAAGCCACGGCUAACUACGUGCCAGCAGCCGCGGUAAU